AGAGUUUGAUCCUGGCUCAGAAUGAACGCUGGCGGCGUGCUUUACACAUGCAAGUCGAGCGAGGCGGCCCGCAAGGGCCAGUCGAGCGGCGAACGGGUGAGUAACGCGUGGAUAACCUGCCCAGAGGUGGGGGAUAACCCGGGGAAACUCGGGCUAAUACCGCAUAUGACCGAGAGGUCAAAGGGGGCUCGCAAGGGCUCUCGCCAUUGGAGGGGUCCGCGUUCGAUUAGCUAGUUGGUAGGGUAAUGGCCUACCAAGGCGACGAUCGAUAGCCGGCCUGAGAGGGUGAUCGGCCACACUGGAACUGAGACACGGUCCAGACUCCUACGGGAGGCAGCAGUGGGGAAUUUUGCGCAAUGGGCUAACGCCUGACGCAGCAACGCCGCGUGGAGGAUGAAGGUCUUUGGAUUGUAAACUCCUGUCAGCAGGGAAAAAGCGACCUGACCUCAUACGUCAGGAAGUUGAUUGUACCUGCAGAGGAAGCCCCGGCUAACUCUGUGCCAGCAGCCGCGGUAAUACAGAGGGGGCAAGCGUUAUUCGGAAUUAUUGGGCGUAAAGGGCGCGUAGGCGGCUUGACAAGUGGAAGGUGAAAUCCCUCGGCUUAACCGAGGAACUGCCCUCCAAACUGUUUGGCUUGAGACCGGGAGAGGUGAGUGGAAUUCCCAGUGUAGCGGUGAAAUGCGUAGAUAUUGGGAGGAACACCAGUGGCGAAGGCGGCUCACUGGACCGGUACUGACGCUGAGGCGCGAAAGCGUGGGGAGCAAACGGGAUUAGAUACCCCGGUAGUCCACGCCGUAAACGAUGAGUGCUUGGUGUAGCGGGUAUCGACCCCUGCUGUGCCGAAGUCAACACAUUAAGCACUCCGCCUGGGGAGUACGGUCGCAAGGCUGAAACUCAAAGGAAUUGACGG
RNAcentral lists this ribosomal RNA (910 nucleotides) under uncultured bacterium. Its description in RNAcentral is "bacterial SSU rRNA". It matches the Rfam family "Bacterial small subunit ribosomal RNA", at positions 8 to 916 of the family's 1533-position model. The record is from RNAcentral.